Molecule: long non-coding RNA, 1367 nt
Filed under: Anthonomus grandis grandis
Lineage: Eukaryota; Metazoa; Arthropoda; Insecta; Coleoptera; Curculionidae
Description: uncharacterized LOC126745118
Source: RNAcentral
UAUUACAUUAAGGGCCGGUUGUAUAAACACUUUGAACUGUAGUUUAUUGUUGAACUGCAGUUCAAAGUAAAAAAGUUGUUGUAUCAAUAAUAUUUAACACUGAUCUAAGUUCAAAUUCGAAGUUCAAGUGAACGCCCACUUGCCGCCGUUCAAGAAGCCGAACUUUUGUUCAAGUGAUUUUCUAACCUCACAUUCACAAGUUUUGUGCUUUGUUUAUCUCCUUCUCAUUAUUAUUGGGUUUAUAAAAAUGAAUGAAUUUAACGACGAAGUUAUUACUGAUGAUGAAGAUUUUUUGGGUCUUGUGAGUGCUGUAAUGAAUCCUAGAAUGCCACGGACAUUCAGAGAACGUCCUGAUCAUUUUACUAAAUGGACAGAUAAUGAAUUUUUACAAAGAUUUCGCUUGACGAAAAAGACAGUUGCUUACAUUAGUGAAUGAGUUUCUCCCACAAUCUCUUUCACAACCAGAAGGAAUCACGCUCUAUCGGCUUCAGAAAUGGUUCUCCUAACUUUAAGGUUUUUUGCAACAGGGUGCAUUUUGCAAGCAGAUGGAGAUUUUUCUGGUGUAGACAAAUCUACAGCAAGCAGAGUUAUUAAUAAAGUGUCCCGGGCAAUUGCACAUAUGCAUGAAACCUAUAUAUCACUACCCGAUGAAGAAAUAAAUAAUGUUCGACAGGGUUUUUUCAACAUUAGCAGAUUCCCAAGAUGUAUUGGGGAUUUGGAUUGUACCCACGUAAAAAUCCUGGUGGAGAAGAACCAGAAAAUUUUAGAAACCGAAAAGGUUAUUUUUCUUUUAAUAUACAAGCAAUAUGCGACUCACAACUAAAAAUUUGGGACAUUGUGUGCAGAUGGCCUGAGUCUGCUCAUGACGCAAAUAUAUUUAGGAACUCAAUUUGAAAAUGGUGAUUUUGUCGAAAAUUUAUUAGUGGGUGAUAGUGGAUAUGGUAACAAACCAUACCUAAUUACACCACUUUCUAACCCAACCACUCCUGUAGAACAUUUAUUCAACGAAGCACAAAUAAGAACGAGAAACCCAAUAGAGAGAUGCUUUGGUGUAUUAAAACGUCGAUUCCCAAUAUUAGCAUUAGGAAUUAAAUUAAAUGUGCAAAAAGUGGAAGCAAUAGUUGUCUCAUGUGCAGUGCUUCAUAAUAUUGCAUGCAUGUUGAGAGAUGACGUUCCCCUUGUAAAUGAAAAAGUUGAAGCGGCUCUUGAAUUAGGAAAUAUCCCUAUACCUGUGGUACAACCAGGUGUUGAGAAUAUAGCCCUUAAUAAUGUGGUUCGGCAAGCUUUGAUAACAGAGUAUUUUCAGCCUUUGUUAGAUAAUGUAGCACAUGAGUAGAACUCGAAAUUGCAAUAAAAACUUUUUUUUA